UGGAUGGAGGCACAUCUUGUCACAAGUGGUGCUGGUAGCAAAAGCUCAGUGGAAGAACCUGCCUGCCUGGGGGCUGUUCACUCCUCUGAGGACCCCAUCUGCAGUGCUACAACCAGAUGUGUCUUUGCAUGAAAUCAAAUUCAAGAUCUGCUCAGCUGAAAACUAGAUGAGCGAGGAACACUCAUUUUCACACAGCACAAAGUUGUAGGCCUCAACAGGAAGCUUUGAAUGUGGUGCCAGCACAACAGCACUGAGAGAAAAUAAGACAAGUACCUCCAAGAUGCAGAAUAUCCAGCAAGUUAUAAAAACAGCAUCACAAGGAGGUCCUAAGAUGGGGCUUGCUCCAGUUUUCCUGCUGAGCAUGUGUUUAGGAAUUGCUGCUAAAAAAAAGUCAGAGAGGAUGGCAGUUCUGUGCUGUCACGUGGCCUGAUACAGUGCAGAAUCUGCUUAGCAUUCUUGAAGGGAAAUUAUCCAGUGCUGCAACUCACAAUUUAUAAUUGGUUGCAUAUUAAUAGCUAAAAAAGGCAAUAAAAUCCACUGUGUGUCUAAAAAAAAAAAAUGUAAGUAGAAGUAUUACAAGCUGAGCAGUGAAAAUCUGGAAGACUUCUUGGCUAGAGCAGGGCUGUGUGCAGCGUUGUUUCUCCUGUAUUAAUUACAAGCAAUUUUAAAUCAUCUCCUUCCUUCAAGGAAGGAUUUUGUUCAGCGUUUUUGUUAAUUUUAAUCUUGCUAGCAUGAUACUCUCUUGCAACCUCUCCCUUGUGUCAUAACAGUGAGACAUGCUGCCUCUUUUGUCCCUGCCCUUUGGGAAACACAGUUACUGCUGCUCAUUGCCUAACCCUGCUGUCGUGACUAUCAGUACACGUCCCUUGAAAGGAAGAGAAACCAAAACCCAGCAGCAGAAUUGUUCUUCCCCCCCCACCCCUGAGUUCACUUUUAUGUGUAGUAUUUAAGCUAGAUUGUGUGAGUGCCUAAAGAAAAUCGGGGGUUUAAAAUGUAUGGUGCUGCUGUAUUAGAGUGGAAAGCUUGUUAUUCAGCACGCUAAUUAUUUCUGAGUCACUGUAUUUAUGAAAUGUCAUGUAAUA
Vidua chalybeata is the source of this 1082-nucleotide long non-coding RNA. RefSeq lists it as uncharacterized. NCBI's taxonomy places the organism in Eukaryota, Metazoa, Chordata, Aves, Passeriformes, Viduidae. The record is from RefSeq and is a predicted model, not a curated record. The transcript has 4 exons.